Molecule: ribosomal RNA, 429 nt
Filed under: Actinomycetes bacterium
Lineage: Bacteria; Bacillati; Actinomycetota; Actinomycetes
Description: Actinobacteria bacterium partial 16S ribosomal RNA
Rfam family: Bacterial small subunit ribosomal RNA
Source: RNAcentral
UAGGGAAUCUUCCGCAAUGGGCGAAAGCUUGACGGAGCAACGCCGCGUGAGUGAUGAAGGUCUUCGGAUCGUAAAACUCUGUUAUUAGGGAUGAACAAAUGUGUAAGUAACUAUGCACGUCUUGACGGUACCUAAUCAGAAAGCCACGGCUAACUACGUGCCAGCAGCCGCGGUAAUACGUAGGUGGCAAGCGUUAUCCGGAAUUAUUGGGCGUAAAGCGCGCGUAGGCGGUUUUUUAAGUCUGAUGUGAAAGCCCACGGCUCAACCGUGGAGGGUCAUUGGAAACUGGAAAACUUGAGUGCAGAAGAGGAAAGUGGAAUUCCAUGUGUAGCGGUGAAAUGCGCAGGGAUAUGGAGGAACACCAGUGGCGAAGGCGACUUUCUGGUCUGUAACUGACGCUGAUGUGCGAAAGCGGGGGGAUCAAACAGG